UUCAAUCUUGUAUCUUCAUAGUCCAGGAGUCCGGUCGAAGGUACAAUCUGGCUAUCCGGACACCCCCUAAUCCAGGACUCCCUCAACACUCGUGAGCACCUUUUGGAUCGGGUCAACACGGAGGUUUGAGCAGUUGGGGGCAGCACGGCUACUCGAUGUAGAUUGCAGACUGGCGGCGGCGGCUGGAGCUUGCAGGGGCCAGAUCCAUGCGGGGCAGGGGCUGGGGAGGCUGAUCCGAAGGCGGGCGGCGAGGCAGGGGUCACCGGUGACGAAGAGGAAGGCUAGAGAGGAGGGGCUUCAGUUUUCCCUGGUAGAAAAGAGAAACAGAAGAGGAUUCGGGGAGGAGAGGUAGGGAGAAGAAGAAUGUGGGAAGAAGGAUGGCUAGCCUUCUCGACAUAUGCCAUACGAUCUAAAGCUCAGUCAUGGGGUUGUUGGUGGCUUCACGCUCACCUUACAACCUCCAUGACGCUUGCCACACGAUAUGCAGGACUGCCACAUGAUGCUGGUCCGAGAGUUCUAGGAUCAAACAAGGUACCACUAUCAUGGUUUUCCCUGAGCUUAAUCACUUAAUUAGGGAAAGAUGUCUGGAUGCGAAAACUAUAGCCUGGUAAGAAGUCGAAACAUCAACCUUAAUUUCUCAAGUGUGCCUAUUACAUCGAUAAGUAGCACUGCUGCACUGCAAAUAUGAAGACAAUUUGCAUUGUCAUGUAUACAUAUGUAGUAGAUGGGUACAUAAUUAACUGAGAUACAAGUAGAAGUGCUGCAGUUGCAGCAGAGCUCCAUCAAGUUCCAUCGAAAAUUGCAUGAAGCGUCUAAUGUCGCCGCCAAGUUCGCCGGAGGAAGAAGCACCGAGUUCAUUGGAUGAACAAGAACAUCGGUCGAGCCGUCCAAUGUCGCCUGUAGCGGCUACACCAGAGUGUGUGCGCAUGCUCAAUAGGUAAUGUCACAUCACCUCAAUUUCUUCAGAUGUGGCAUAGGAAGUCAUGUCCUCACGUGCUACUAUUUCUAGAGGUAGCCUCCUAAUCAAAUAAAAGUUUGUUGUCUGAUUCAUCAUACAAUAUUUUUGCUUGGUGGAAUAAAUCUCCAAGAUGACUUAAUUCAAUUUGUUAGCUGAAUGGUACGACCGUAUGAAUAGCAUAUGCGUGUACCAUAUAUAAUCUAGGCUGCCCGGAAGUGCAGUAAAAAAUAGUGAUAUGAUGAGAUGAGCUGGGGUUAGAAGUUCACAGUGUUCAAUACAGAAUCAGGCUUUUUUCUUGAAUUAUUUGAAGUAGAUCAUAUAUAAAACUUCAAAUAAUUUCUGAACCCACCAGAUAUUACAGUGCUAAACUACUACAUCAAAUUGAAAAGCGUCAAUGAUCUACUCGUAGUUGUUAAUUGUUAUCUUAUCUGCUGAUUGUGGCUUUAUUUCCCAUUUGGUAAAACCAGGUUAGCUUUAUUGUAAACUGCACCUAUGCAAUGGUGAGGGAUUUCAAGGUUUUUCUUCAGAAGCAAAGAUAACAAGCUUUCUUGUUUCCAGAAAAGCUUGCAACUUUGUUUAGAAAGUAGAGGGCCCGAGAAAAUAGAUGAGCAGAAUGGUGGUGAUGAGAGGGGCCACAUAGUGGCUGCUUGCCGAGAUAACUAAUUUUGUUUACUUAUUUAUCUUUUCUUGCUUACAAUGUUAUGCUCAGUUUUCCACUAGCUGAGUUGAUGUUUGGUUUUCUCACAUAGAUGAUCUUCUCCUAGGCUGGUUUGUAGGUCAAACAAAUUUGAUGAUCGAUACACCUUUUUUCCAGCAAUAUUAUAUUGUCUUAUCAUUUUUGUGAUGUUAGUUUUGUUGCAUAUUUAUACUUCAAUAAUGUAUGUUUGUUGCAGCAUGCCGAAGCUAGCGAUGUGUCAUCUCCCGCGCGGCAGCCUCCUCGAUCCGCCUUGGGAUCCACAUUAACUAAUCUGAGUCUACCUCCUCUGUCAUGCAGCAUGGCUUUGAGCGGCCAGGUGUCCCAGAUUGACAGCGACAGUGGCAUCGAUAGAGGGUAGCCAGGGGGUUUUGCCGUUGGCUGCUUGCUCUGCUUGCGUCCAGGAAUGAUGCACAUUAUUUUAAAAUACCAUGUGUAUGAGUUUGGUUGGACUUGAUUUUGCAUCCCAUCGUAGAUGAAAACCUACUAGCUUACAAUCCGUGUGCAUGUGUAGCUGAAAUAUUUGCCAUUGAGAAGACAAUAAGCACUUGUUAUGAUGUGCAAAGUCUUUGCGGUGUCCAAUUUGGCUCACUGUGACCCAGCUAAUUUCUAAUUGUACCUUAGAUUACUUUCUAGAUCCCAUCUGGAACUACAUGUUUCUCUGCUAAUGUAA
Long non-coding RNA from Triticum aestivum (bread wheat), 2325 nucleotides. RefSeq lists it as uncharacterized. The transcript is spliced from 3 exons. Lineage: Eukaryota; Viridiplantae; Streptophyta; Magnoliopsida; Poales; Poaceae. The record is from RefSeq and is a predicted model, not a curated record.